RNAcentral lists this ribosomal RNA (297 nucleotides) under uncultured Pseudomonadota bacterium. RNAcentral describes it as "uncultured proteobacterium partial 16S ribosomal RNA". It matches the Rfam family "Bacterial small subunit ribosomal RNA", at positions 29 to 351 of the family's 1533-position model. Lineage: Bacteria; Pseudomonadati; Pseudomonadota. The record is from RNAcentral.
AACGAACGCUGGCGGCAGGCUUAACACAUGCAAGUCGAACGGUUGUAGCAAUACAGCAGUGGCGCACGGGUGAGUAAUACUUGGGAACGUGCCUUGGAGUACGGGAUAACGUCGGGAAACUGACGCUAAUACCGUAUAUUCCCCUCGGGGGAAAGAUUUAUCGCUCCAAGAUCGGCCCAAGCCAGAUUAGGUAGUUGGUGGGGUAAUGGCCUACCAAGCCUACGAUCUGUAGCUGGUCUGAGAGGACGACCAGCCACACUGGAACUGAGACACGGUCCAGACUCCUACGGGAGGCUG